UUUAUGGCAGAACCUGUGGCAUACGUAAGUUCCCAGGCCAGGGGUUGAAUGGAACUGCAUUGCCGGCCUACGACACGGCCACAGCAACGCCAGAUCCAAGCCUACCUGUGAUCUAUGCCGCAGUUCCUGGCAACACUGGAUCCUCAACCCACUGAGCGAGGCCAGGGAUCAACUCCACACCCUCAGAGACACUAUGUAGUGUUCUUAACCCACUGAGCCAAGACAGGAACUACUAUAGUUGUUUUUUUUUUAACUGAAGUAUACUUGGUUUACUAUAUUGCAUUAGUUUCCGGUGUACAGCAAAGGGACUCAGGAUUUCUGUGGAUUACAGGUUGCAUUAUAUGUUAUUAUAAGAUGACAGGUGUAACUCCCUGUGCUCUCCAGUACUUCCCUGCUCCUUAUCUAUUGAUACAGAGUAGUCUGUAUCUGCUCAUCUCUUUGUCCCUCCCCCUUCCCUCUCCCCUUUGGUAACCACUAGUGCCUCUCUAUUUUCCAUAUCUGCCAGUCUGUUUCUGUUUUGCACAUAUAUUCACUUGUAUUAUUUUUUCCAUUCCACGUAUAAGUGAUGUCAUGUAGUAUUUGUCUUUCUCUAAUUUAUUUCACCAAGCAUGGUAUUCUCUAGGCCCAUCCAUGUUGCUGCAAAUGGCAUUAUUUCCUUCUUUUUUAUGGUUGAGUAAUAGUUUAUUGUGUAUGUAUUCAACAGCUUCUUAAUACAAUCACCUGUUGAUGGGACUUGGGUUGUUCUUGGUUUUGUAAACAGUGCUGCUAUGAACACUGGGGCGCAUGUAUCUUUUCAAAUUAGUGUUUUCAUUUGAAAAUCAGUUUUUCAAUAAUAUACUGAAAUGACAAGUAAACCAUUAAAAAGGCAUUAACCCAGUGGUAUGCCAGGGCCAGCUGACACAGGCUUGUGAGAACUGACUGUUCAAUUUUCAGGAAUUUUUUUUGAACCAGUUGUUACAUAUGACAAUUUUUUUUUUUUUUUGUCUUUUUGCCUUUUCUAGGGCCGCUUCCCGUGGCAUAUGGAGGUUCCCAGGCUAGGGGUCGAAUCAGAGCUGUAGCCACCGACCUACACCAUAGUCACAGAUAUGGCUCGGAUCCUGUGUUGCUGUGGCUCUGGCGUAGGCCGGCAGCUGCAGCUCUGAUUGGACCCCUGGCCUGGCACCCUCCAUAUGCCACAGGCGCAGCCAUAAAAAGAAAAAAAAUAAUUACACAAGAAAGGAGAUAAGAGUGCCAGGAAACAGGGAUUCCAAAGAAGGAGAGAAGGAAAGAGGGUACCCAGGGUGAUGCUGAAGGGAAGCUCCAAGCAGGACCAUCCAGAAAGAUGUCCCCAGAGGGAGACGCAACUGAGAUCCCAACAUGUUCUCCUGUUGAGGAGAGUCUGAGGCGAGUCACUCAUAAACACCCAAAGAACCACACAAUUAAAACAGGAUCAAGUCCAGGGUUGGGGGGGCAGGGGGAGGAGGAGACAUUCAAGGGCAAAAACGUAAUUACAGUGCACCAUGCGCACGGCCAAAUGAUGCAAAUACAGAUCCGUGAUUUCAUCCCAACUGGGAUGGCCCAUCAUUUAUAAUUUUCCAACAUGCACGCUCCUCUCACAUUUUAACAUCCUGAAAGUCGGGCUGCCUCUUGCCGUCAGUGUGAUAAGGAAGUACCGUUUCGUAGUUUACCUGGAAGCAUGUCGUUUCUUUUGUAGUGACACGUAAAUGAUGGUGUAUCUUCCGACAGGCGGCAUCGAAGCUGGAAGGGAAUCUGUGGGGAAGGGAGGGAAAGGUGUGGACGGCCGCGUGCAGGACGGGGACGAACGCUAAGCCCUCGUCCCAGUGAGAAGUCAGCGGAAGAUUUCUCACAUUAUCAAAGUAGAAAAGCAGCUUUGUAAACAGGUUUUUCAGUAUGACGGCUGCAAAUUCCAGGAGUACAACCAAAACCACAGCCAGCGGUUGACUCUGGGAGCGGAACCUGGAGGUCAGGAGGCACUGGGCUGUGACGUUUAUAAGCCUCAUAAACAUGUGAAUUUUUAAACAAUAUAUAGGUAUUAGAAGUAAAAGUAAUAUGCAUGGAAAUGAGAAUAAUAAAAUGCAGCGCCCGUCCAGUCUCACCAGAAAAGACUGUGAAAAUGAAAAGGGGACUUUAUGGCCUCCUCCUUCAGGACAAGGCGUCUAGCCGCCCUGCUCGCUGUCCCAGGCCGGUCUUGGGAAGUGAGGCUCCCCGGCCUCUGGCACAUGGCCUCACCGCCACCGCUGGCCUCCCAUCCCUUGAAACUCCGCUGCCUGAUUUUUCACUCUCAGGGGACCAGACAGCUGGUCUUAGGGCAGGUGGAAACUGCAUAGGGCACGUUUUUCAAAUACUGGAGCUCCCUAGAGCCCUUGAGAAUGAGAAAGGAAGCUGGUGGCUUGGCAGGUGCGGAGGCCCUUCUCGCAGACAUCUGUCGGUGGUGCUGGGAGCCCAGGCCCCUCCUCUUUACGGAGGAAGAGCCCUGGCUUCCUGAUGGGAUGAGGCACCGGCCUGUGCCAGCUGCAUGGCAUCCUGGGUGAGAAAACAAGAGGAAGACUGCUCCUGGCAGAGCACGAGCUACCUGCUCCUCACAUGUCAGACCUCCGCCCGAGCCCCUGCAGGCCAGGAGGCACCCACUGCUCCCGGGGGACAUCCGGGCACUGCCCGCUCUGCCCCGGGCGGGGGGAGAACAAACACCUGCAGUUCUGCCCGUGAACUGGGUGAGGCUCUGCUGCCGAGCGAUUGGGAAUCAGCAUCCAGGGAGUUUGAGGCGACGAGGACGGCAGCUCUCGCCCGCAUGCCACUUGCUGUGAAACGCCGCAGCCGCACCCCGCGUUCGUGUGGAAACACUUCACACCGGUUGGUAAACAGCCACAGCCCGGCCCCUCCCCUCGGUCCCCCACACCUCCCACCACCCUGCAACCAAAGGGGAACAUACGGCCCAGCAGGGGGCCUCCAGGAGCUGGCACACGGAGGCCCCACCGCGGGUGACAGCCCUGAUUGGUCAGGCUUGCUUGUUAAAUAUGUCAAGUAUCACUGCCAGCGCCUAGAUCAGUGAGAGACCGGAAAGCCCACUUCCCGCAGAAAGCCCUCCACCUUCCUCUCCCGCCUCCCUUCUCCCGGCCCAGCGUUUACAACACCAGAGUCUUCUGGAGUAAAAAGGUCUUUUUCUAUGGACAAGAAGAGAAGCCCCUUUUUUUCAUUCCCUGGGGGCCCCUGAUGCUCCAGACUGCAAGGAAAUUUUCCUAUGUGCCUCUUCCUCCUGCUUCCCUAACUUGUUUAUCCUGAUGAAAUUAGGUUACAAUGGCCAGGGCGAGCGGCCUAAAAGGGGAAAAUAAAGUUAGCGGAGUCCAACGCGCGGCCUCGGCGCGGGCUGGCUGGGAGGCCUGGGGGGGACAUGUGCUUUCCCGGCUGCCAGGGACCCUCUUCCCUCCCCCUCAGGUGCCACUUCCCGUUCCCAGCCCCCGCAGGAGAGGGAUCCCCUGGGCCCUGUGCAGGGGCCCUGGCACAGCCUGAGGAUUUCCGCAGGGAUACCUGGUCCUCCGAUGCAGCCAAGGAGGGGUGGGGAGGGGCGCUCUCUCCCCGCAGUGGAAGUUUUGCUGCUCUCUUACCCUUGGGUGGAGGCCGGCUCAGGCCUUCCCAGCUCUGCCAGGUCACUGAGGACCCUACCCAGGGGCACCCCACACAUGACCUCGGCCCUCACAGAUGCGCACUGUGACCUGGAGACCAGUCCAGUGUGUUUCUUGGGUCUCCACUGAAAACCUAUUCAAGGAGUUCUCCUGUGGCACAGUGGGUUAGGGAUCCAGCAUUGCCACUGCAGUGGCUUGGGAUGCUGCUGUGGCCCGGGUUUGAUCCCUGGCCUGAGGAACUUCUGCAUGCCGUGGAUGCAGCCAAAACAAAGGAAAAAAAACUUUCUCAGUCUGUCAAAAUUAUGACUUGGGACAAUUUAGCGAAUGGUCUCUUCGGUCUGGGUUUUGUUUUGCUUGUUUUUUGGUUUGUUUUUACGUGACAUCAAAGGCAGACUGCAGAGCGGAAGGGGUCCACCAGGAAGGACCUAGAGGGACCAAUGCAAAUUCUGCUCUUCUGACCGAGACUUCCUCUUCCAGAAAUGCCUACCCCCAAAGGCCGUAAGGAGGGUAAAGGUGCAGCCAAAUCAAUGAAUAACGUACACAAUUUUUUUAAAAAGUUAAUUUUUGUUGCUUCUGUUGAUUUGUAGAAGUUCUUUAUAUAUUCUGUAUAUUAAUCUGUUAUCAGACACAUGAUUUGCAAAUAUUUUUCUCCCAUUCUGUAGGCUGCCUUAUCACUGUUGAUUACUUUCUUUGAUGCACAGAAGCUUUUAAGUCUAAUGUAGUCCCAUUUGUUUACUUUGCUUUUGUUGCCUGAAGGCACAUUUUUAAAGUUUUUAACGUGAUACAUUUAAAAAAAAUGCAAAAGAAAAAAUACAUAUACAAACACAUGUAUAUGCCUACUAUACAUAUAGUCAUACACGUACAUACAUAAAAUUCUCCCUUGCACCCCUGACACCCAGUCUCAGUUUCCUCUCCCAGAGGCCACCACAAGUGCCGAUAUCCUUCUGUUGAUGUGUGUCCUUCUUUUCGAUUAUAUGAAUGUCCUAAGUGUUACUGAGCCAACCCCUUUCUCUCCGUCAUUACCAUAACCAGGGCUGGAAAAGCCAGUGUACGGACUGUCCCCUGUCAGUGUGAGAGGAUGGUUUAAUUGUUCGACAGCUGCCUGACAGUCCACAGAACAGACAUUCCAUAACUUGUUUAAUCAGUCCCCUGGUUAAAAAGUUAAAUUGUUUACAGCCCUCUGCCGCAAUGAAAAUGUUUGCACACAUGUCUUUGAGCCCCUGAGGGCUGUAUCUGUAGGAUAAAUUAUUAAAAGUGGAAUUGCUGGUCAAAGGCUUUGUGAAUUUUAAACUUUGAUAGAUAUAUCCACAUAGUGGAUAGAUUUUACCCCAAAGAAAGAAUUUUAGCAACCAAAACUGCCCAAAGUUACUUUAGGAGAUUGUGGGUGGGUUGUUUUUUUUUUUUUCCCUUUUAUUUUUUUAAAUUGUUUUAAGUCACUCAAUGAAUUUUAUUAGAUUUAUAUCUGUACAACGAUCAUCACAACACGAUUGUACAGCAUUUCUAUCCCAAACCCCCAGCGCACCCCUCCACCCCCCAACCUGUCUCAUUUGGAGACCAUAAGUUUUUCAAAGUCUGUGAGUCAGUAUCUGCUCUGCAAAGAAGGUCAUUCUGUCCUUUUUUUUAAUUUCACAAGUGAUAGCAUAUGAUGUUGGUAUCUCACUGUCUUGACUGACUUCACUUAGCAUGACAAUCUCCAGGUCCAGCCAUGUUGCUGCAAAUGCCGUUAUUUCCUUUUAAUGGCUGAGUAAUAUUCCAUUGUGCAUAUGUACCACAUCUUCUUGAUCCACUCCUCUGUUGAUGGACAUUUAGGUUGUUUCCAUGUCUUGGCUACUGUAUAUAGUACUGCAGUGAACUCUGGAGCACAUCUAUAUUUUCAAGUCAUGGUUUUCUCUGGAGAGAUGCCCAGGAGAUUGUGAGUGUUUUAAGGAAAUCAAUCCCCAGCCUAGGAAUUU
RNAcentral lists this long non-coding RNA (5572 nucleotides) under Sus scrofa (pig). RNAcentral describes it as "lncRNA (ENSSSCG00040051742.1)". The record is from RNAcentral. Lineage: Eukaryota; Metazoa; Chordata; Mammalia; Artiodactyla; Suidae.